Molecule: ribosomal RNA, 692 nt
Filed under: Nocardia sp. KLBMP 03699
Lineage: Bacteria; Bacillati; Actinomycetota; Actinomycetes; Mycobacteriales; Nocardiaceae
Description: bacterial SSU rRNA
Rfam family: Bacterial small subunit ribosomal RNA
Source: RNAcentral
UGCAGUCGAGCGGUAGGCCCUUCGGGGUACACGAGCGGCGAACGGGUGAGUAACACGUGGGUGAUCUGCCUCGUACUCUGGGAUAAGCCUGGGAAACUGGGUCUAAUACCGGAUAUGACCACGAAUCGCAUGGUUUGUGGUGGAAAGAUUUAUCGGUGCGAGAUGGGCCCGCGGCCUAUCAGCUUGUUGGUGGGGUAAUGGCCUACCAAGGCGACGACGGGUAGCCGGCCUGAGAGGGCGACCGGCCACACUGGGACUGAGACACGGCCCAGACUCCUACGGGAGGCAGCAGUGGGGAAUAUUGCACAAUGGGCGGAAGCCUGAUGCAGCGACGCCGCGUGCGGGAUGACGGCCUUCGGGUUGUAAACCGCUUUCGACAGGGACGAAGCGUGAGUGACGGUACCUGUAGAAGAAGCACCGGCCAACUACGUGCCAGCAGCCGCGGUAAUACGUAGGGUGCGAGCGUUGUCCGGAAUUACUGGGCGUAAAGAGCUUGUAGGCGGUUUGUCGCGUCGUUCGUGAAAACUUGGGGCUCAACCCCAAGCUUGCGGGCGAUACGGGCAGACUAGAGUACUGCAGGGGAGACUGGAAUUCCUGGUGUAGCGGUGAAAUGCGCAGAUAUCAGGAGGAACACCGGUGGCGAAGGCGGGUCUCUGGGCAGUAACUGACGCUGAGAAGCGAAAGCGUGGGUA